This 252-nucleotide ribosomal RNA is filed under the name uncultured bacterium. Its description in RNAcentral is "partial 16S ribosomal RNA". It matches the Rfam family "Bacterial small subunit ribosomal RNA", at positions 525 to 776 of the family's 1533-position model. The record is from RNAcentral.
ACGUAGGGUGCAAGCGUUGUCCGGAAUUAUUGGGCGUAAAGAGCUCGUAGGCGGUGUGUCGCGUCUGCUGUGAAAACUCAGGGCUCAACUCUGAGCUUGCAGUGGGUACGGGCACACUAGAGUGCUGUAGGGGAGACUGGAAUUCCUGGUGUAGCGGUGAAAUGCGCAGAUAUCAGGAGGAACACCGGUGGCGAAGGCGGGUCUCUGGGCAGUUACUGACGCUGAGGAGCGAAAGCAUGGGGAGCGAACAGG